CUUCAGAAAACCGGGCUCAGGGCGGCUAACAACAAAUUAAAACACUUAAUUGAUGCAACAAAAAACAGCAUAAAAUACAGUAUAAAAUGUGAAUAACAAUAAAUUCAGAAUUCAAAAAUCAAUUUAGGGGGGAAAUCCAUCCAAUAAACAUUAGAUGAUCACCAGGGCUAGCUGGCUAAAUUAGUCCUAUUUGGACCAGCAUGGAGACCAGGGGAGAAUUAGCUGUGGGAUCCCAGAGCUAAGAGGAAGGCACGCUUGGCAAAUCCACACCGUGAUCAACUCCUGCCCAGAAACCAAUGUCCCCACUGUGGAAGGACGUGUGGAUCCAGAAUUGGCCUCCACAGACACUUACGGACUCACUGUUAAGACUGUGUUCAUGGAAGACAAUCUUACUCAGCUACGAGGGAUCGCCAAAGAAGAAGAAGGAAAAGUUUGCUGAUGAUUCCACAUUAUUUAGGGUUACUGGAACUAAAAGAGAUUGUGAAGAGCUCCGAAAGCGCUCUGAGUCAAUGGGCAGUAAAAUGGUGAAUGCAGAUCAGUGUAAACAAGUCUAGAGUAAUGCGUAUCAGGCCUAGAUAUCUUCAUUUCAGAUAUACAGUCCUGGUUGUAGGUCUGAGCCCCACGUUGGGCAAAAAGAUUCCUACAUUGCAGGGGAUUGGACUAGAUCACCCUGGUGGCUCCUUCCAACUCUAUGAUUCUAUGACCACUGUUAUGUACUGAGUGAAUAGGAUCCAGAAUGCAGCAGUCUGAUUGGUCCUAGAACAAUAGGAUCCAGAAUGCAGCAGUCUGAUUGGUCCUAGAACAAUAGGAUCCAGAAUGCAGCAGUCUGAUUGGUCCGCAGGAGCCACCCAAACCAACUCCGGGUGGAAGUGAAUCCGCAACCUGAUUGGCCUACAGGAGAAUCCCAGAAUUAGCCAAUCACGUGGGGCCCAUUGUGGAAAUAAUGUAUAUAAAGCAGACAUUUUGGGGGAACUUCCAUUCCUCACUACUCUGAGCUGAAUAAAGAGCAUGAAGUCCACACUUGACUCCGAGUAUAUUUCAACCAUUAUCCUCAUAAGAAAUGUGGAAUGGCUAUGGUCUGAACUGGCAGUGAUGGACCAGGAACAAGAACUUGGAGUUAUAGGAGAUAUCUGAUGAAGAUGUUGGCCCGGUGUCCAGCAGCGGUGAAAAGGGUAAAACUGAUGCUAGGGAUCAUUAGGAAAGGAAAAUAAAACUGCCAAUAGAAGAAUGCUGCUGUACAGAUCUAUGGAGUGACCACAUUUGGAAUACUAUGUACAGUUCUGGUUGCCGCAUCUGAAAAAGGAUAUGGUAGAGUUGGAGAAGGGUUGGGAAAAUGCAACCCAAAUGAUCAAGGGGGUGGAGUGACUCUUCCAGGGGCGCUGACUUGCUGACAUUGAGGGGGCCCAGAAUCACAUCCCAUGUCCCGCUCCUGCCCAUCGCACCAGCGGCAGGGAUUGGGGAGCGCAGAGGGUGAUUUUCACUCUCUGCAUGUUCUGCCCCCAUCUCAUGAGUGAGCCUUUGCCUAGCAGUAACAACAACAACAACAUAUUAUUUAUACCUCGCCCAUCUGGCUGGGUUUCCCCAGCCUGGGCAACUCCUAACAGAAUAUUAAAAACACAAUAAAACAUCAAAUGUUAAAAACCUGAAGCUGAGGCUGCAAUACUUUGGCCACCUCAUGAGAAGAGAAGACUACCUGGAAAAGACCCUGAUGUUGGGAAAGAUGGAGGGCACAAGGAGAAGGGGACGACAGAGGACGAGAUGGUUGGAUAGUGUUCUCGAAGCUACCAGCAUGAGUUUGACCAAACUCCGGGAGGCAGUGGAAGACAGGAGUGUCUGGUGUGCUCUGGUCCAUGGGGUCACGAAGAGUGGGACACGACUAAAUGACUAAACAACAACAACAACAACAAACAGGGCUGCCUUCAGAUGUCUUCUAAAAGUCAGAUACAGUGGUACCUUGGGUUACGAACAGUCCUGCUUAUGGAUGCUUCGGGUUAUGAACUCCAAAAACCCAGAAGUAGGUGUUCCGGGUUACAAAAUUUGCCCCAGGAUACGAACGCAAUCUGCUUCUGGGGCCACUGCAGGUUAAGAACGGACUUCCAGAACAAAUUAAAUUCAUACCCUGAGGCACCACUGUAGUUGUUUAUUUCUUUGACAUCUGAUGGGAGGGCGCUACUAGCAAGAAGGCCCUCUGCCUGGUUCCCUGUAACCUCACUUCUCACAGUGAGGGAACCUCCAGAAGGCCCUCAGAGCUGGACCUCUGUGUCCGUGAUGGAAUAUGGGGGUGGAGACGCUCCUUCAGGUAUACUGGGCCAAGGCCGUAGCGGGGGAUGGCAACCCCUUCAAUAUUGGGGUGGGGACUCGGUCCUCUGCCCACAGAUAUUGAGGGGGCCAAAGCCCAUGCUGCCCCCUAGAGUUGGUGACCCUGGAUUCUCCUAUGGGGAAAGGUUGAAGCAUUUGGGAUGUUAAACCACAGAGCCUAGGACUUGCGGAUCAGAAGGUUGGCGGUUCGAAUCCCUGCGAUGGAGUGAACUCCCAUUGUUCAGUCCCUGCUCCUGCCAACCUAGCAGUUCAAAAGUACGUCAAAGUGCAAGUAGAUAAAUAGGUACCACUCCAGUGGGAAGGUAAACGGCAUUUCUGAGCGCUGCUGUGGUUCGCCAGAAGUGGCUUAGUCAUGCUGGCCACAUGACCCGAAAGCUGUACGCCAGCUCCCUCAGCCAAUAAAGCGAGAUGAGCGCCACAACCCCAGAGUCGUCCGCGACUGGACCUAAUGGUCAGGGGUCCCUUUACCUUUACCUAGCUUAGAGAAAAGGCAAGUAAGGGAUGACAUGAUAGGAACUGAGGGAACUAUGCACGGCAUGUAGAAAGCGGCAAGAGAAAAGACCCCCCUCUCUCUCACAACACUAGAACUUGUAGGCAUCCAAUGAAGAUGAAACUUGGAAGUUACAGCAGGGGAGAGGCAACUGUGGUUGUCAACUGUGAGAACAGGAUUCUGCAUGAGAUGGGCCAUUGGCCUGUUCCAACAGACUCUUCUCAUGUUCUUAUAAACCUGGGACCUUCUGCAUCAAACCUCUACCACUGAAGCUCUACC
RNAcentral lists this long non-coding RNA (3088 nucleotides) under Podarcis lilfordi (Lilford's wall lizard). Lineage: Eukaryota; Metazoa; Chordata; Lepidosauria; Squamata; Lacertidae. The record is from RNAcentral.